UCCGUUACCCGGGUUGCGGACAGUGUCUGGUGGGUAGUUUGACUGGGGCGGUCUCCUCCUAAAGAGUAACGGAGGAGCACGAAGGUUGGCUAAUCCUGGUCGGACAUCAGGAGGUUAGUGCAAUGGCAUAAGCCAGCUUGACUGCGAGCGUGACGGCGCGAGCAGGUGCGAAAGCAGGUCAUAGUGAUCCGGUGGUUCUGAAUGGAAGGGCCAUCGCUCAACGGAUAAAAGGUACUCCGGGGAUAACAGGCUGAUACCGCCCAAGAGUUCAUAUCGACGGCGGUGUUUGGCACCUCGAUGUCGGCUCAUCACAUCCUGGGGCUGAAGUAGGUCCCAAGGGUAUGGCUGUUCGCCAUUUAAAGUGGUACGCGAGCUGGGUUUAGAACGUCGUGAGACAGUUCGGUCCCUAUCUGCCGUGGGCGCUGGAGAACUGAGGGGGGCUGCUCCUAGUACGAGAGGACCGGAGUGGACGCAUCACUGGUGUUCGGGUUGUCAUGCCAAUGGCACUGCCCGGUAGCUAAAUGCGGAAGAGAUAAGUGCUGAAAGCAUCUAAGCACGAAACUUGCCCCGA
This 571-nucleotide ribosomal RNA is filed under the name Salmonella enterica. RNAcentral describes it as "partial 23S ribosomal RNA". It matches the Rfam family "Bacterial large subunit ribosomal RNA", at positions 2232 to 2802 of the family's 2925-position model. The record is from RNAcentral. Lineage: Bacteria; Pseudomonadati; Pseudomonadota; Gammaproteobacteria; Enterobacterales; Enterobacteriaceae.